This 463-nucleotide ribosomal RNA is filed under the name uncultured bacterium. RNAcentral's name for it is "partial 16S ribosomal RNA". It matches the Rfam family "Bacterial small subunit ribosomal RNA", at positions 28 to 505 of the family's 1533-position model. The record is from RNAcentral.
GACGAACGCUGGCGGCGUGCUUAACACAUGCAAGUCGAACGGAAAGGCCCUGCUUGCAGGGUACUCGAGUGGCGAACGGGUGAGUAACACGUGGGUGAUCUGCCCUGCACUUCGGGAUAAGCCUGGGAAACUGGGUCUAAUACCGGAUAGGAGCCAUUUUUAGUGUGAUGGUUGGAAAGUUUUUUCGGUGUAGGAUGAGCUCGCGGCCUAUCAGCUUGUUGGUGGGGUAAUGGCCUACCAAGGCGGCGACGGGUAGCCGGCCUGAGAGGGUGGACGGCCACAUUGGGACUGAGAUACGGCCCAGACUCCUACGGGAGGCAGCAGUGGGGAAUAUUGCACAAUGGGCGCAAGCCUGAUGCAGCGGCGCCGCGUGGGGGAUGACGGCCUUCGGGUUGUAAACUCCUUUCGCUAGGGACGAAGCUUUUUGUGACGGUACCUAGAUAAGAAGCACCGGCUAACUACG